GAUUUCUGGGGCAAGGGAACCGUGGUCACCGUCUCCUCAGGGGCCUCGUCUGCCCCAAAUCUCUUCCCCCUUGUCUCCUGUGAGAACCUCCUGCUGGACGAGAGCCUGGUGGCCAUGGGCUGCCUGGCCCGGGACUUCCUGCCCAGCUCCGUCUCCUUCUCCUGGACGUACAAGAACAGCAGCGCCGUCGGCACCAGCGCCAUCACGAGCUUCCCGCCUGUCCUGAGGGAGGGCAGCUACCUGGCCACCUCCCAGUUGUUCCUGCCCUCGGCAGACAUCCUCAGGGGCUCAGAUGACUACGUGACGUGCAAUGUCAAGCACACCAGCGGUGACAGAAAAGUGAAAAUUCCCCUCACACCACCCGAAGACCUGCCCCCCAACGUGACCGUCUUCACCCCGCCCCGUGACGCCUUCUCCAGCAAUAGCCAGCGCACAUCCAAGCUCCUCUGCGAGGCCUCCGGCUUCAGCCCCAGGCAGAUCUCCGUGUCCUGGCUGCGGGACGGGAAGCAGGUGGAUUCUGGGGUCACCAUGGGCAAAGUGGAGGCUGAGCCCAAAGGGUCCGGGCCCUUGACCUACAGGGUCACCAGCUCCCUGGUCAUCACCGAAAUCCAGUGGCUCAGCCAGAGUGUGUUCACCUGCCAAGUGGAACACGGAGACCAGAUCUUCAAGAAGAACGUGUCCUCCAUGUGCAGCUCCAGUGCGUCCACCGGCAUCAGAAUCUUCACCACGCCCCCCUCCUUCGCCAGCAUCUUCCUGACCAAGACAGCAACACUGUCUUGUCUGGUCACAGACCUGGCCACCUACGAUAGCCUGGACAUCUCCUGGACCCGCCAGAAUGGCGAGGUUCUGAAAACCCGCAUGAACGUCUCUGAGAGCCACCCCAAUGCCACCUUCAGCGCCAGAGGCGAGACGACCAUGUGUGUGGAGGACUGGCAGUCAGGAGAAGAGUUCACGUGCACGGUGACCCACACGGACCUGCCCUCGCCGCUGAAGCAGACCGUCUUCAAGCCCAAGGACGUCGGCAGGCACGUGCCCUCCGUGUACGUGCUGCCACCAACCCGGGAGCAGCUGGGCCUGCAGGAGCUGGCCUCGAUCACCUGCCUGGUGAAGGGCUUCUCCCCUUCAGACGUGUUCGUGCGGUGGAUGCAGAGGGGGCAGCCCAUGGCCCCCAGCACGUACGUGACCAGCGCCCCGAUGCCCGAGCCCCAGACCCCAGACCUCUACUUCGUGUACAGCAUCCUGACCGUGAACACAGAAGACUGGCUCAGCGGGGAGACGUACACCUGCGUCGUGGGCCACGAGGCUCUGCCCCACUCGGUGACCGAGAGGACCGUGGACAAGUCCACCGGUAAACCCACCCUGUACAACGUGUCCCUGGUCCUGUCUGACACAGCCAGCACCUGCCAGUGACCGCCAGGCCACCCCUCACGGCGGUGCCCGGAGCCUCUGGCUGACCUGUCACUGUGUGUGUGCGUGCAGGCAAACUGACUGUGUCAAUGGGGUGAGAUGUCGCAUUCUAUAAAAAUUAGAAAUAAAAAGAUCCGUUCAAAA
Non-coding RNA from Pteropus alecto (black flying fox), 1551 nucleotides. Lineage: Eukaryota; Metazoa; Chordata; Mammalia; Chiroptera; Pteropodidae. The record is from the annotation of a RefSeq genome assembly.